Molecule: transfer RNA, 72 nt
Filed under: Tupanvirus deep ocean
Lineage: Varidnaviria; Bamfordvirae; Nucleocytoviricota; Megaviricetes; Imitervirales; Mimiviridae
Also listed under: 1 other name
Description: tRNA-Gly
Rfam family: tRNA
About the family: Transfer RNA (tRNA) molecules are approximately 80 nucleotides in length.
Source: RNAcentral
GCGCUAUUCGUAUAUGGGUAGUACAUUGGUUUUCCAAACCAAUAGAAAGGGUUCGAGUCCCUUAUGGCGCAC